Molecule: ribosomal RNA, 402 nt
Filed under: uncultured bacterium
Lineage: Bacteria
Description: bacterial SSU rRNA
Rfam family: Bacterial small subunit ribosomal RNA
Source: RNAcentral
GGGGAAUAUUGCGCAAUGGGGGAAACCCUGACGCAGCAACGCCGCGUGAAGGAAGAAGGUCUUCGGAUCGUAAACUUCUUUGAUGAGGGACGAAAAGAUGACGGUACCUCAAAAACAAGCCACGGCUAACUACGUGCCAGCAGCCGCGGUAAUACGUAGGUGGCGAGCGUUGUCCGGAAUUACUGGGUGUAAAGGGCGCGUAGGCGGGGGAGCAAGUCAGAUGUGAAAUACCGUGGCUCAACCACGGGGCUGCAUCUGAAACUGUUUUUCUUGAGUGUCGGAGAGGAAAGUGGAAUUCCCAGUGUAGCGGUGAAAUGCGUAGAUAUUGGGAGGAACACCAGUGGCGAAGGCGACUUUCUGGACGAUAACUGACGCUGAGGCGCGAAAGCGUGGGGAGCAAAC